AGCUUAAAAAGAUAAAUUCUUCCAGACAAAGAAAUAAUUCCUCAUUAAAGUACAAGAGAACUCUUGCAGUAGUACUUCAGAGAAAAUCAGUUACAAGCCAGGAAGAGAUGACCUUGGAAGUCCAUAAAUCAAUGUGACAGGACACAUAAGGCAACACAAAGAAAGAUUCAGGAAGAUUUUCUAUGAAUGCUGAAAAGUCUCACCUUUGAAAGCAAGUUGCCAUUAUGCUCCUAACUUUGUAAAAUCUACUUUGAGUGAGUAUUUAACAAGCUUUUGGAACAAGUACGUUUCAUACACUUACUUCGAAUAAAG
Long non-coding RNA from Cyanistes caeruleus (blue tit), 312 nucleotides. RefSeq lists it as uncharacterized. The record is from RefSeq and is a predicted model, not a curated record. NCBI's taxonomy places the organism in Eukaryota, Metazoa, Chordata, Aves, Passeriformes, Paridae.